ACGAAACAAUUAAUGCGCGCCUAUAACAAUUUUGUUUUAAACCUAAUCCGUAGCUACUCUACUAGUUCAUUAAUUUUGAACAGCACUUUCAGGAUGCAUGGCGUCAGUAAAACAAACGGGUCCCUUAAUGUGUCAAAGCUGUGAACAUCUGCAGGUCUUUGCAAGCCAAGUAUGCUGCUCUAUAAAAGCCAGGCUGAACAUUCAACAUUUCAUUGUGCUCAAAAGUGAACAGUAAAACAUUCUGCUAAAUACAAAGUUGGUGUUGAAGAAGCGUUCGAGAAGCUGAACUCCUGCAAAAGUCAUGAAGAAUUUCUUGGUCAUCUUGCUUAUGUUAUCGACCAUGACCCUGUGCUUGGCGAAGCCGAAAUGGAUAUGGUUCGAUGAAGAAGAGAAGAAUGGUGGGAAUGUCAACGAUGUAGUCUUUGCAAGAGAAAAUAGAAAUAAUAAAGGGAUUCUGAAGAAACAUUGCGACCCCCCGGGACCACACUGUCUCUUGAAAACACAGCAAUAACACUAUAUAACUUUAAUUAAACUACUAUAUAUUAACAUCAUACUCAUGAUACUGAUAAUAUAUGUGUACG
Paramuricea clavata is the source of this 581-nucleotide non-coding RNA. The record is from the annotation of a GenBank genome assembly. NCBI's taxonomy places the organism in Eukaryota, Metazoa, Cnidaria, Anthozoa, Malacalcyonacea, Plexauridae.